UGAGGAAUAUUGGUCAAUGGGCGCGAGCCUGAUCCAGCCAUGCCGCGUGAAGGAAUAAGGCCCUAUGGGUUGUAAACUUCUUUUAGACGGGACAAAACCCCUUUACGUGUAAAGGGUUGAUGGUACUGUCAGAAUAAGCAUCGGCUAACUUCGUGCCAGCAGCCGCGGUAAUACGAAGGAUGCAAGCGUUAUCCGGAAUUAUUGGGUUUAAAGGGUGCGUAGGCGGACUAAUAAGUCAGUGGUGAAAGCCUGCAGCUUAACUGCAGAAUUGCCAUUGAUACUGUUAGUCUUGAGUACAGUUGAGGUAGGCGGAAUGUGUCAUGUAGCGGUGAAAUGCUUAGAUAUGACACAGAACACCAAUUGCGAAGGCAGCUUGCUAAGCUGUAACUGACGCUGAGGCACGAAAGCGUGGGGA
This 415-nucleotide ribosomal RNA is filed under the name uncultured bacterium. RNAcentral's name for it is "bacterial SSU rRNA". It matches the Rfam family "Bacterial small subunit ribosomal RNA", at positions 355 to 767 of the family's 1533-position model. The record is from RNAcentral.